This 72-nucleotide transfer RNA is filed under the name Ovis aries (sheep). It matches the Rfam family "tRNA". From Rfam's summary of the family: Transfer RNA (tRNA) molecules are approximately 80 nucleotides in length. Their secondary structure includes four short double-helical elements and three loops (D, anti-codon, and T loops). The record is from Rfam by way of RNAcentral. Lineage: Eukaryota; Metazoa; Chordata; Mammalia; Artiodactyla; Bovidae.
UCACAGAUGGCUCAGCUGGUAAAGAGUCUGCCUGCAAUGCAGGAGACUCAGGUUCAAUCCCUGGGUUGGGAA